RNAcentral lists this ribosomal RNA (253 nucleotides) under uncultured bacterium. RNAcentral describes it as "partial 16S ribosomal RNA". It matches the Rfam family "Bacterial small subunit ribosomal RNA", at positions 524 to 776 of the family's 1533-position model. The record is from RNAcentral.
UACGUAGGGUGCAAGCGUUGUCCGGAAUUAUUGGGCGUAAAGAGCUUGUAGGCGGUUUGUCGCGUCUGCUGUGAAAUUUCGGGGCUCAACCCCGAACUUGCAGUGGGUACGGGCAGACUAGAGUGUGGUAGGGGAGACUGGAAUUCCUGGUGUAGCGGUGAAAUGCGUAGAGAUCGGGAGGAACACCAGAGGCGAAGGCGGCGACCUGGACAAGCACUGACACUCAACUACGAAAGCGUGGGGAGCAAACAGG